RNAcentral lists this non-coding RNA (31 nucleotides) under Homo sapiens (human). Lineage: Eukaryota; Metazoa; Chordata; Mammalia; Primates; Hominidae. The record is from RNAcentral.
UCAUUAGUUCUUCUAGGUUUGGAAUAGGUGU